This 439-nucleotide ribosomal RNA is filed under the name uncultured bacterium. RNAcentral's name for it is "partial 16S ribosomal RNA". It matches the Rfam family "Bacterial small subunit ribosomal RNA", at positions 338 to 795 of the family's 1533-position model. The record is from RNAcentral.
CCUACGGGAGGCAGCAGUGGGGGAUAUUGCACAAUGGGGGGAACCCUGAUGCAGCGACGCCGCGUGGGUGAAGGAGCGUUUCGGCGCGUAAAGCCCUAUCGGCAGGGAAGAAGAUGACGGUACCUGACCAAGAAGCCCCGGCUAACUACGUGCCAGCAGCCGCGGUAAUACGUAGGGGGCAAGCGUUAUCCGGAUUUACUGGGUGUAAAGGGUGCGUAGGCGGGCAUUUAAGCCGGCGGUCAAAUGUCGGGGCUCAACCCCGGCCUGCCGUCGGAACUGGGUGCCUUGAGUGGGCGAGAAGUAUGCGGAAUGCGUGGUGUAGCGGUGAAAUGCAUAGAUAUCACGCAGAACUCCGAUUGCGAAGGCAGCAUACCGGCGCUCAACUGACGCUCAUGCACGAAAGUGUGGGUAUCGAACAGGAUUAGAUACCCUUGUAGUC